Molecule: ribosomal RNA, 420 nt
Filed under: uncultured Leptolyngbya sp.
Lineage: Bacteria; Bacillati; Cyanobacteriota; Cyanophyceae; Leptolyngbyales; Leptolyngbyaceae
Description: bacterial SSU rRNA
Rfam family: Bacterial small subunit ribosomal RNA
Source: RNAcentral
GGGGAAUUUUCCGCAAUGGGCGAAAGCCUGACGGAGCAAUACCGCGUGAGGGAGGAAGGCUCUUGGGUCGUAAACCUCUUUUAUCAGGGAAGAAACAAAUGACGGUACCUGAUGAAUCAGCAUCGGCUAACUCCGUGCCAGCAGCCGCGGUAAUACGGAGGAUGCAAGCGUUAUCCGGAAUUAUUGGGCGUAAAGCGUCCGCAGGUGGUUUUGAAAGUUUGCUGUCAAAGCGCGGAGCUUAACUUCGUACCGGCAGUGAAAACUCCAAGACUAGAGUUUGGUAGGGGUCACGGGAAUUCCCAGUGUAGCGGUGAAAUGCGUAGAGAUUGGGAAGAACACCAGCGGCGAAAGCGCGUGACUGGGCCUGAACUGACACUCAUGGACGAAAGCUAGGGGAGCGAAAGGGAUUAGAUACCCCUG